This 490-nucleotide ribosomal RNA is filed under the name uncultured bacterium. RNAcentral's name for it is "partial 16S ribosomal RNA". It matches the Rfam family "Bacterial small subunit ribosomal RNA", at positions 30 to 507 of the family's 1533-position model. The record is from RNAcentral.
AUUGAACGCUGGCGGCAGGCCUAACACAUGCAAGUCGAACGGUAACAGGGAUCAGCUUGCUGAUUCGCUGACGAGUGGCGGACGGGUGAGUCAUGUCUGGGAAACUGCCUGAUGGAGGGGGAUAACUACUGGAAACGGUAGCUAAUACCGCAUAACGUCGCAAGACCAAAGAGGGGGACCUUCGGGCCUCUUGCCAUCGGAUGUGCCCAGAUGGGAUUAGCUAGUAGGUGGGGUAACGGCUCACCUAGGCGACGAUCCCUAGCUGGUCUGAGAGGAUGACCAGCCACACUGGAACUGAGACACGGUCCAGACUCCUACGGGAGGCAGCAGUGGGGAAUAUUGCACAAUGGGCGCAAGCCUGAUGCAGCCAUGCCGCGUGUAUGAAGAGGGCCUUCGGGUUGUAAAGUACUUUCAGCGGGGAGGAAGGGAGUAAAGUUAAUACCUUUGCUCAUUGACGUUACCCGCAGAAGAAGCACCGGCUAACUCCGUG